This 2128-nucleotide small RNA is filed under the name Rattus norvegicus (Norway rat). RNAcentral's name for it is "uncharacterized LOC102549737". Lineage: Eukaryota; Metazoa; Chordata; Mammalia; Rodentia; Muridae. The record is from RNAcentral.
AAAAAUGAAAAAUAAUAAAGUAAAUAUAGUUCAUUGAAAUGCUACACAAAGUUGUGGGCAGUUGGUUCCAUCUGCCUAGAAUUUGUCACAUAAAGCAGUAGAAACACCUUUCCUCCAAAUGCUCUUUAUUUUGAGGCAGCAUCUUACUCUUUGAUGCAGGUUGGCAAGGAAGUCAUUAUGUGACCCAGGUCGGCUGCAAAUUUAAGGCAGACCUUUUGUUUUGACUCAACUCCCCAAUUUCUGAGAUUGCAAGUGCAUGCCGUUGUGAGUGCUUAGUAACUGUUGUUGUGAGUUGGAAAGUAGCUUGUUUCCCAACAGAUCACUCCAGGCUAGUCCAAUCCCUCAAGAGGUUCUUUAUUGAAUGGGGCUGGGAGGAGCGGGGGAGGAUGAGGAAGAGAAGAAUAGAAAGGGGUCAGGGUCUCUGUCUAUUAUCUGGGGCCGUGAAGUCGAUGCCAGGUAAUGACAUGCACCACCAUGCACAGACAUACUCCGGGAGCGUGUGGAAGUUGCCUUGGCAACAGGUGCCAAGCGCUCCUUGUCGCCUAGAGAUGACGUCAUCGCUGGAGUGGAGGCUAACUAAUUGUGUCCCUAAAGAGACCUUUUGAGGUACCUCGUGCAGCUAGAGAAAAGCUAGUAGAGACGGAAUACACAUCGAAGGAUGUCGGUGUCAACUGCAGCUGUUCACAGAGGCAUGAAGAGAUCAGUGGAUCCUCCGAAGCUCAAUUUACAAGUGGUUGUAAGUUGCCCAAUGCGGAGAAUUGAGCCAGAGUCCUCUUAAAGAGCAGCAAACACUCAGCGAACACUGAACCUUCCCCUCAACCCCUGCCCCAUCAUAGCAGUUUAUUUAGUAUUUACUUGGUGGCUAAGGAUGUUGAACACAUUUUCAAGUACAUAUUGACAUCAUUAUUUCUUUUUCUUUUUAAAAAAUUAUCACAUUUAAAUUUAUUUUAUGUGCAUGCAUGUAUGCCUAUGUAUGAGUGUGCAUGGGGUGGGGGCGGCACCAGAGGACCUUUGUAGGAGUCUGCUCUUUUUUCCUACCGAAUGGGUCUGAGGAUUAAAUGCAGGUCACCAGGACAGCUGCAAGCGUGUAUUCCCUGAGCUCCCCCACUGCCCUGUAUUUCUUUUCUGAGAACAACUUCUUGGGUUCAUUAGUUCAUGUUUCAAUUGAGUAACUUAUUUUGGGGUGUUUCAUUUUUUUCAGAUCUUUAUAUAUCUUUGAUAGUAAUUCCCUGUCAGAUAUGUAGAUAUGAAAGUUACUUUCCUUUUUUUGUAGCCCCCCCCCACCCCCCAAGUUUCUCUGCAUAACCUUGACUGUUCUGGAACUAGCUCUGUAGACCAGGCUGGCUUGGCUUGAACUCCCAAAAAUCAGCUUCCCUUGUCUCUCAAGUGCUGGUUAAAGGCACGAUCCACAACAGCUGGGCAGUAGGCUCCCCUUUAAUCUGGUUAUUUGUUGCCCUUCUUGGGCAGAGACUACUUAAUUUCCUAUAGUUCCAUUUGUUAAUUUGUAGGAAAGUUUCCUAUGCUUUUGGAGUCCUAUUUAAAUAAUCUUUCCCUGUAUCUUGAGGGUAUCUAUCCACAACAGUUUUAAAGUCUGGGUUAUUGUAGUAGUUCAUUUAAUCUAUUUUUAAUUAAUCAUUUUAUUUUUUGCAGGGAGAGAGGAUUGGAUCUGGAAAUUCAGUUCUUUUUCAUGUAGAAAUUCAACUUUUCCAGCACCAUUUGCUUGUUCCACAAUGUACAUUUUUGACUGCUUCAUUUAAAAAAAAAUGGGGGACUGGGCUAGGCACCAUAGUGUACCCUUUUUAAUACCAGCACUUGGGAAUCAGGAGCAAAUAGAUCUCUGGAUUUGAAGCCAUCAUGGUCAACAUAGUGAGCUUCAGACUAUCCAAAGCUAUAUGCAGAGAUCCUGUCUCAAAAAAAAGAAGAAAUAAACCAAACCAAACAAACAAAAGAAUUGACUGUAACUGUGUGUGUCAUCUCUGGUCCUAUAUGCUAUUUUUUGAUUUACAAGUCUGUUUUGUAAUAGUACUAUGCUAUCUUUGUUAGUAUGACUCUGUGUUAUAACCAGAGAUUGGGUAUUGUGAUAUCUGUAAUGUUAGUGUUUUUACUGAGGAUAUUGUAGAGGGGUGUG